This is a long non-coding RNA of Tympanuchus pallidicinctus (lesser prairie-chicken), 470 nucleotides long. RefSeq lists it as uncharacterized. The record is from RefSeq and is a predicted model, not a curated record. The transcript has 3 exons. NCBI's taxonomy places the organism in Eukaryota, Metazoa, Chordata, Aves, Galliformes, Phasianidae.
CUGCUUGUGACUGAAGGAGUGGCUGUAACACAGCUGUCUGCAGCACCCAGGGAGCUGCUAACUACCUUUAAUUACUGGCAGCAGGGGCGAGCUGCUCAUGAACUGACCUAAAGUAAACAGCUUUGCCGAGACAAACUGCUACAGGAUAGGAAACAGUUAAAAUCAGUUCAGAAGUGUUAGAAUUGGGAGUUUCACGUUGCUUUCUUUCCAGUCGAAUCAGAAAUUGACUUACAGUCUCAGCAAUUUGUUCAGGAUUGAGUUUUGAGAACUCAUUUUGAUCAAAGAACAGGACGUAGCUUCUGCUAUCAAAACUCAACAGAGCUACAGUUUUAAAAAGAAGUCAUUUCUUUUGUGAGGAAGAACCAACAAAAAGGCUUUUUCUGUAAAACAACCUAUGAAACAUUAUAUUUCUCUAAAAGCUGGAGGAGUGACCACACAUCUCUGCGUAAUUUGUCAGGGAAAUAGGGGAG